AUUUUAUUUCUGUAAAGAGCAAGGAUUAUGUGUAUCCCUUGAGUGAACCAGGACGCUGCCCCAAGGCUGCAAUGUGGUUUCUCGGCCGCUUCUCCCUCGUCCCUGCCUCCCUCCCUUCCCUGAUUAGGAACUGUUUGAAAGCUUUCAUGGCUAGGUGUCCCACAGGGUCCUGCUUAGUUUCAAAGACAGAAAUCAUUUCCCCUUAUGGGCCCUUCAGGCUUCCCUGGUGGCUCAGAUGGUAAAGAAUCUGCCUGCAAUGCGAGAGACCUGGGUUCAUUCCCUGGGUUGGGAAGAUCCCCUGGAGAAGGUUAUAGCCGUCCACUCCAGUAUUCUUGCCUGGAGACUCCCAUGGACAGAGGAGCCUGGCAGGCUGCAGUCCACAGGGUCACAGAGGGUCAGACACGACUGAGCGACUUUCACUACGGGUCCUUCUCACCUCGUCCCCCUCUGCCUCCUUGGUUCCAGCUGGCAAAUGCUGAUUCUCAGGAGGGAACCCAGAGCUUACAAUCAGAUUCCCAGGAAGGGGAUAUGCUUCUGUCAGUGGAUCAUGCUGUGCUAGAAGCUGCAACCACAGCGUGGUCAGUCUGAGCUCCUCCUGCCAGUGGACCAGCAAGCAGAGACUCUGUUGAGAAACAACGGCGGUGGACACAGCAGCUGAAAAUCACAUUGCAGCUGAUCACCAGCAUUGAGAAUGGUUCAAGACAAGUGGGCAUGGGGACACAGCUGCGGGGCUGGCUUCCUGAGUCUGGAUCCCUGGAUCCUGCAUCACGGUUGUGGGUCUUGAACUCAACAGUGACAGCCUCUGGGGACAGCUCCAUUGAUAGGUCAGCUCCACUGAUAGGUCAGCUCCAGGGUCCUGGACCCCGACUGAAGCCCACAUGGUUCCAGAUCUUCUUGGAGAUGUUCAGGCACUUAAUCCCAUGUCUUCAAUCCCUUUUCUUGCACAGAACCUGGCUGAUACAUGUUUCUUCACCACCCCUGCCAGCCCUUCAGCAACCAACCCCCUUCUCCACACAUCCAGUAAGGACUGUCCCUUGCCAGCAAGAACACUCAUCCCACCAUUGAGGCUGAGUCUUGGUGCAGAACCCUGCUCAAUUUGUCACUUUGCUUCAGUGAUUUCUAUGAAUUUAUCUUCACCUGUUCACAAAUAAGAACGUUCAGUCUCACGGACCAUGUUGGAUGGUUUCAUCACAAACUUAUUCAGUCUCGAGGAAGCCUCAGAUACUUAAUUGGGUAACUCAUCUCCUUCUGGAUAUUCUGAGAUCCUGAAGGCUUUCUGCAGAGGUAGGAAGUUCCCAGAAGUCCCACACCCUGCUUUCUAACUCGGAGGUCAGCAGGUUGCCAACUCUCCCAUCCGAGCCCUCAGAAGCCAAAGUUAGAUCCUGUCUUCAACUCCCUGGUGUCCUAGGAGUCAGGGGACGGGGUAGUUUGUGUGUCUCCUGGGGAAGAUCUUGUUUGUCCCCAAGAGGAGGAGAAGUGAAGGUCUGAGUCAUUGGACCCCCUCCCCCAGUGCAGGAGUGGUCCUCACUGAUGUGACCGGCUGGCCCAAGGAGUGAGCCUGGAACCACAGGAACCCUGGGCUUCAGUCAUGGGCAGAGCCACCAGGCGUGACCAUCAAUGCCGUUACAGAGAGCAGAGCAGAGCAGAGUCUGAGAGAGGGACUGAUUCAGGUCACACCUGAGUCAGCAGGAGGACAGCAGCCUGGAGUGCCUGACCCCAGCUCGUCAACUACCCUUUCCUCCACACAGCCCCGGAGAAAGGCAUCUCUCCUGGAGAGUAGGGCUGGGACACAGCCAUCAUGAGGAGAGCUGGAGCAUGAGUGAGCUGGUAAAGGUCCCUGCGCCUCUUCAGGGAGAUCAGGUGCAUCCAUCAGGGUCCUGAUGGUAAACAGAUGGCACCUCCAAUCAGGUCAUUUGAGGAGAUUGAAAUAAAGGGACACUUACAAAGCUGCA
Bos indicus x Bos taurus (hybrid cattle) is the source of this 1952-nucleotide long non-coding RNA. The record is from Ensembl. Lineage: Eukaryota; Metazoa; Chordata; Mammalia; Artiodactyla; Bovidae.